Molecule: ribosomal RNA, 394 nt
Filed under: uncultured bacterium
Lineage: Bacteria
Description: bacterial SSU rRNA
Rfam family: Bacterial small subunit ribosomal RNA
Source: RNAcentral
GGAAUAUUGCACAAUGGGCGAAAGCCUGAUGCAGCGACGCCGCGUGAGUGAAGAAGUAUUUCGGUAUGUAAAGCUCUAUCAGCAGGGAAGAAAAUGACGGUACCUGACUAAGAAGCCCCGGCUAACUACGUGCCAGCAGCCGCGGUAAUACGUAGGGGGCAAGCGUUAUCCGGAUUUACUGGGUGUAAAGGGAGCGUAGACGGCGAAGCAAGUCUGAAGUGAAAACCCAGGGCUCAACCCUGGGACUGCUUUGGAAACUGUUUUGCUAGAGUGUCGGAGAGGUAAGUGGAAUUCCUAGUGUAGCGGUGAAAUGCGUAGAUAUUAGGAGGAACACCAGUGGCGAAGGCGGCUUACUGGACGAUGACUGACGUUGAGGCUCGAAAGCGUGGGGAGC